GUCGCAAUUACUGGCUUGUAUGCUAAGAACAUGUUUUGUAAGAAACUGCCAAAGUGCCUUGUGAAGUGUCUGUAUCAUUUUGACUUCCCACCAGCAAU
Molecule: microRNA precursor, 98 nt
Filed under: Marmota monax (woodchuck)
Lineage: Eukaryota; Metazoa; Chordata; Mammalia; Rodentia; Sciuridae
Source: RNAcentral